RNAcentral lists this long non-coding RNA (199 nucleotides) under Capsicum annuum. Its description in RNAcentral is "long non-coding RNA (CANN_LNC011134)". The record is from RNAcentral. Lineage: Eukaryota; Viridiplantae; Streptophyta; Magnoliopsida; Solanales; Solanaceae.
UUUGGUUACCAAUUGUUGAACACACCCAUUAGGUAUUCAAAAGAAUCAAUGGGUGAAAGUUUGGUGUUUUAUUGAAAGACUAGCAUCUAAACCUAUAACCAAACCUACCCACACUUGAUCUACUCAUAUUGAAGUUAAUCAUUAGCAUCCAUAUGUCACUUCCCUUAGUAAUACAUAAUCUCAAUAUCCGUGCUUAAUU